AAAUGAAUAGACGGGGGCCCGCACAAGCGGUGGAGCAUGUGGUUUAAUUCGAUGCAACGCGAAGAACCUUACCAGGUCUUGACAUCCUACGGAUCCUAUUGAAAGAUGGGAGUGCCUACGGGAGCGUAGAGACAGGUGGUGCAUGGUUGUCGUCAGCUCGUGUCGUGAGAUGUUGGGUUAAGUCCCGCAACGAGCGCAACCCUUGCUAUUAGUUGCUAACAUAUAAGGUGAGCACUCUAAUGGGACUGCCUGUGACAAGCAGGAGGAAGGUGGGGAUGACGUCAAAUCAUCAUGCCCUUUAUGAUCUGGGCUACACACGUGCUACAAUGGAUGGUACAGAGAGCAGCGAGGCCGCGAGGUGGAGCGAAUCUCAAAAAGCCAUUCUCAGUUCGGAUUGGAGUCUGCAACUCGACUCCAUGAAGUCGGAAUCGCUAGUAAUCGCGGAUCAGAAUGUCGCGGUGAAUGCGUUCCCGGGCCUUGUACACACCGCCCGU
RNAcentral lists this ribosomal RNA (494 nucleotides) under uncultured bacterium. RNAcentral describes it as "bacterial SSU rRNA". It matches the Rfam family "Bacterial small subunit ribosomal RNA", at positions 903 to 1397 of the family's 1533-position model. The record is from RNAcentral.